This 253-nucleotide ribosomal RNA is filed under the name uncultured bacterium. RNAcentral describes it as "partial 16S ribosomal RNA". It matches the Rfam family "Bacterial small subunit ribosomal RNA", at positions 524 to 776 of the family's 1533-position model. The record is from RNAcentral.
UACAGAGGUCUCAAGCGUUGUUCGGAUUCAUUGGGCGUAAAGGGUGCGUAGGUGGCGCCGUAAGUCAGGUGUGAAAUUUCGGAGCUUAACUCCGAAACUGCAUUUGAUACUGCGGUGCUUGAGGACUGGAGAGGAGACUGGAAUUUACGGUGUGGCAGUGAAAUGCGUAGAGAUCGUAAGGAAGACCAGUGGCGAAGGCGGGUCUCUGGACAGUUCCUGACACUGAGGCACGAAGGCCAGGGGAGCAAACGGG